This is a long non-coding RNA of Bos taurus (domestic cattle), 2230 nucleotides long. Lineage: Eukaryota; Metazoa; Chordata; Mammalia; Artiodactyla; Bovidae. The record is from Ensembl.
GGUUUGAAUUUAACAGGAUUUUCUUUUUUAAUCCUUUUUUUUCAGCCUGCUGCAUGGCAUGCAGGAUCUUAGCUCCCCAACCACGGACUGAACCCAUGCCCUCUGAAGUGGAAACAUGGAAUCUUAACCAUUGGACCACCAGGUUUCACAAGUGGAAGUCUGUAUUUUCCAGUGGUGCUCAAUGAGCAUCCUACCUUCCUCAUCCCUCAGUCCCUGUUACCCACUACUCUUGACCAAAGAUCCAUGGUCCCAGUGUUUUAUAACAUGGCACAGUUCCAACAAUAUGGUGGCUGCUGGAAAGAAAUGAAAACAAAAGACACGCAAACAGAAGCUGAACCUCAGCAGGCUGAAAAUUUGGAUAAAAAGCAAGAUGUGAACUCAGAAGGCAACAGCCAUGACAUGCGAGUGGUGACCAGUAUCCCUGAGAAUGUGGCUGAAGAGGAAGAGGUGGAGAGCAGUGGCCACCCUGAGGGAGGUAUUCCCUCACCUACCUGGUUGGCUCGGGUCAACAAAGUAGAUGAGGGCACCAGGGUGAUGUGGGUCAGUGCCAUGAUGCACAGCCCGAGUCAUCAUCAGAAAGCAGUGCAGGACCGUGCUGGGAUUAUCGGGACCUCAUUGAACCUGAUGAUGAUGGAUUUUGAUUCUGAGAGUUAUGACGAGUUCACUCCCCACCUCUCAAUGUCCCCUGUCCCCCUGCCAAAUGAAGUAGGUGAGGGCAUACAGCUUAGGGAAUAUCUAUCCCCAGCAAACAUCCUCCAGAGGUGACACUCACAUCCUCCGUGAAGAGUGUCAUACCGCCCCUCAUGCCACCCUGUACAGAGAGGAUAAGGGUAUCCAGGGGGAAAUGAGAGGAGGAGCAGAGCAGGUGGAGAAUGGGUACCAGCAUGAGGAUGAAUACGUAGGUGAGUUACCCAGUGACUGUGAGCGGUGCAGUUCCUCCCCUACCUGCUUGACCCUGGUCAACAGAGUAGAUGAGGCCAUCCAGGGGCACAUGGUUCAGUGCUGUGAUAAGCAGAACGAGCCAUCGUAAGAAAGCAGUGAAGGACCAUGGUGGGAGUAUGCGGAUCUCAUUGAAUUUGAUGAUGAUGAUUAUUCUGGUAGUUACGAGGAGUGUUUUUAUUCCCAUAUACUGUUCCCUGCCUCCCUGCAAAACGAAGGAAGUGAGGACAUACAAUUGGAGAGACCCCCAGCAAAUGCCAUCCAGAAGUGAUGAUCAUAUCCUCCAUAAGGGGUGUCAGUAUUCCUCCCCUCCUCCUACUCUGCAUAGACUGGAUGUGGGCAUCCAAUGGGAAAUGAGAGGCAGCAGAGCCAGUGGAGAGUGGGUACCAGGAUGCAGAUGAGUAUGAAUAUGAAAGUGCAGUAGAGAAUAACUGAGGGGCACGGUUCCUCCCCUGCCUGGUUGACCCAGUCCAACAAAGUGGGUGAAGGCAUCCAGUGUGACAUGAGAUAUGCAGCAAAGCAGACCGAGUGUAGGAACCAGGAUAAACAGGGUUAUGAAGGUGAGGAAGAGAACAGUAACUAUGAGGGACAGGGUUCCUCCCCUACCUGCUUGGCCCAGGUCAACAAAGUGGAUGAGGGCAUCCAGUGCGACAUGAGCUGCUACAAAGCCCAGGUAGAGAAAUCUCCCCAGCAGAUGCCUUCCAGGGGUGAAGAGACGGCAUCAGACAGCAAAACCAGGGGAUCAUGGAAAAAACAGUUACAAACAGGAAACUGAGCGUGGAUAAAGAUGAAGUGAUCUUAAAUGAUGAGAUUGAGGAGGCAUAUCAUGAGAACUUGAAAAGGUGUGCAAAAGUUAAAAAGACUGUGAAAGGCAGGAAGCUGAAAGACAUGAACAGCUUCUCAAAUGCUAAGACAGCCUAUCUGUUGAAGAAAACUACUAUCUUGACCGUUGUGCUUCUCAAGGAUUCAGAAGACUCUGAGCUGGAAGAGGAGGGUGACAUGGAUGAGGUAGGAUGCCUCCUUGAAGAAGUGAGUCCACAGGGCCCUCUGACAUCUUCCACAGGAAGGUCUUAUCACAAGGCUGGAAGGAUAAUCAGGAUGCCACCUAAGAGCCCUGUCCCUUCCCGACUUGUAGUCUGGCCCACCAGAAAUAAGUGCAAGUUUUUACAAGUCUGUGGUCAAUGUGAGUGUGUCCCUGUUAUUACGACAGGAUGACUGUGAAAGCACUGGUGUCAGGCUCCAAAGCAAACCCACCAUGGCCAAGUCGGAGGGACUGCAGUCCAGGAGAGCC